CCUACGGGAGGCAGCAGUGAGGAAUAUUGGUCAAUGGACGAGAGUCUGAACCAGCCAAGUAGCGUGAAGGAUGACUGCCCUAUGGGUUGUAAACUUCUUUUAUAUGGGAAUAAAACGUUCCACGUGUGGGAUUUUGUAUGUACCAUAUGAAUAAGGAUCGGCUAACUCCGUGCCAGCAGCCGCGGUAAUACGGAGGAUCCGAGCGUUAUCCGGAUUUAUUGGGUUUAAAGGGAGCGUAGGUGGAUUGUUAAGUCAGUUGUGAAAGUUUGCGGCUCAACCGUAAAAUUGCAGUUGACACUGGCAGUCUUGAGUACAGUAGAGGUGGGCGGAAUUCGUGGUGUAGCGGUGAAAUGCUUAGAUAUCACGAAGAACUCCGAUUGCGAAGGCAGUUCACUGGACUGCAACUGACACUGAGGCUCGAAAGUGUGGGUAUCAAACAGGAUUAGAUACCCUAGUAGUC
This 460-nucleotide ribosomal RNA is filed under the name uncultured bacterium. Its description in RNAcentral is "partial 16S ribosomal RNA". It matches the Rfam family "Bacterial small subunit ribosomal RNA", at positions 338 to 795 of the family's 1533-position model. The record is from RNAcentral.